ACGGACGACGGAUGACAGUCGACAACGAACAACGGACAUCGAAUGAGCUGAAGAAGGAUGAACAUGUGCCUGGCUGGAUGGGAUGGGUCGAUGGAUGGCUGGUUAACCGGGACGAAGGACGCGACUGGAGCAAGACCGCAGAGCGAAUAAUAAAUACAAUAAGUACACAUGUGGACGGACAGUCGAACUCGCCCACAGAUGUGAGCACUGCACAAAACCUCAUUAAAGUGUUAAAUCUUUUGACAGCCCGGCGACACUGAUGAAGUUGCGCCUGCCGCACUGCACAGUGGCCACCGUAUGCAUCAAGUGCUCUGGAGCACUUGGGCACUUGAGCACCGGGCAGGUGGACAAAAUAUUAAUCAAGCUAACAUCCAAGGCCGGCAAAAGCCUCUUUCAAUCCGGAAUCGAGCCAAGGACUGUCUGCGAAAUUUAUGCAAACUUAUGCCAGGACAUCCUGUGCCCGCCCAGCCUUCAAUUUAGACGAGACACUCGGCGGCAUGGAGCGUGGGCGCUGGCGAAACGAAACGAAGUUGUGGAGUGGAGCGGAGCGGAAUGGAGUGGAGUGCAGUGGAGUGGGAAAAGUUUAAAUCGUGUUGCGUGCGAAACGCAAAUAUCAAAAAUCGACAUUCGACAUUCGAGGCGUGGUCGCCAGAAACCGCUCGAAAAUUAUAGCUUUCAGUUUGCGCGCGAAUUGUAAUAAAUUUAGGAAACUUAUAUACACACUCAUCCCAACGACCGCCCCUUUGGCAACUCGGCAUUCGGAGUCAUUUUCAUAAACUUCGCCUUGCAAUUGCAGUUCAGCGUCCCUGUUCGGGCGCCAUUACUUGGUUUUGCGCCCCACUUGGCCAGACUGGAGUUAUCCGCCAAACGAGCCGCAACUAGCAGAGGUCGUUAACAGCUGGGACGGCUUAAGCCAAUGGCCAACGGCUGCAAUGCCGCGAAUCCGGCGGAACGGAAAAAAGGAAAUCAAGGAGAGGUGCAAACAACCGUGGAGCAUGAAGUGCCAGGGGAUGUGGCGGCAGGAAGCUGCUCUGACCUCGACCAUGGAAUACACUGCCACGCCCCGAAGUCUCGAAGACCCGCCCGAGCGAUCAAAAAUAUGCUAAUGUUAAUAUGAUGGUGGAAGAGCCAAUGCCGGUGGAUUGGAGCCAGAAUGGCUCCCAUUGGUAACCGGAUCCGGUUGAUCACCCUGUUCAAUGCUGAUGCAUUUUUUAUGGACUCUUCGUACCUUUGUGCCACUCAAUCGCUGCAUGCAUGCAAACCAUAAACGCAGCUGGAUAAAAUUUCUGUAUGUUUGUAAUUAUUUUGUCAUUCUGCAAAUAGUGCAAUGGAAUUGGUAAUAUGGUUCACGCAUUUCUACCCUAGGAUACCCAGUAGAAAUAUAUAUGCACACGACUUCUGCUCUCCUUAACUUAAUCAAUGAAUUUUCAUUUAUGAUUUCAUACGAACAUAUUUUUGACUGAUAUUUCAGCAGUCGCAUACCUUCUGGAGAAUUCAUUAUACCCAGUGCGACGUUUGCCAAUUGAGUACACAGCAAAUUUAUCCAUCCAUAAAUAUUUUCGCAGUUUUUUUUUCAGUUGUUGUCGCUGUCAAAUAUGUUUGCAAUUGUGUAAAUCGUUCGUCGUGUUUGUUGAGCAUAAAGGAAAGGCAAACAAUUUUUAAUGGCGGCGUGAUAAGCUCUUGGCAAACAAAAGUACAAAAUACGCCAAUAACAAGUAACAUAAAAAUAAUGAAAAAAGUGGCUUUACACGAUUUCAGCCUUAACUGUUUCUAGAUGUUCUGUAUGUUACUUUAUUGUUAUUACAUAAAUGAUUUUGUUGUUAAAGAUAAU
Molecule: RNA transcript, 1831 nt
Organism: Drosophila sechellia
Lineage: Eukaryota; Metazoa; Arthropoda; Insecta; Diptera; Drosophilidae
Exons: 3
Source: RefSeq, a predicted model, not a curated record